UUUUGUGUAUGGUGGGUGUGGUGGUAUCAGUUCAGAACAAUUGUGUUCUUUCAUACUGUAUCUGUUGUACUUUCACGUUAACAUCUGACGGUGUCGACAAACCGGUACCAGAAGUGUGUGCUGUGCGUGUUGAGUCGAUCACACAUCAUUGAUAUACUGCAUUCUAUCAACGUCACCCUGCCUUGAAGUUGAAAUACCGACAAUGAACGCUCUCGCAUACCGGUGCCUGUUGAUGGCUGUCUUGGUGUUGGUGCUGUGGAAGCCCUGUGUAGCACCGGCGAUGGACAUGCUGGAGGACACGUCUUACGAGAAGAACGGUGAAAACACUGCCGGCACCACACCAGCAGUUGGUCUGAUCCUGGGACUGCUGUCAGCUGCUCUGGCGUACAACUGGCAGGGAAACCCAUAGUCUGAGAUCAUAUUCACUAGUUAGAGCAAGGAGCUCCUUGGGUUAGAGCUAUGCAUGUAUUACUAUUGUAUACAGGCACAGGCAUGGGUUUAGGUACAGACCCAGACCUGUAGUACCAAU
This is a long non-coding RNA of Branchiostoma belcheri (Belcher's lancelet), 529 nucleotides long. RefSeq lists it as uncharacterized. Lineage: Eukaryota; Metazoa; Chordata; Leptocardii; Amphioxiformes; Branchiostomatidae. The transcript has 4 exons. The record is from RefSeq and is a predicted model, not a curated record.